This 1240-nucleotide ribosomal RNA is filed under the name Paenisporosarcina quisquiliarum. RNAcentral describes it as "bacterial LSU rRNA". It matches the Rfam family "Bacterial large subunit ribosomal RNA", at positions 1 to 1214 of the family's 2925-position model. Lineage: Bacteria; Bacillati; Bacillota; Bacilli; Caryophanales; Caryophanaceae. The record is from RNAcentral.
GUGUAAGACUUUUUAACUUUUAGGUUAAGUUAAUAAGGGCGCACGGUGAAUGCCUUGGCACUAGGAGUCGACGAAGGACGGCACUAACACCGAUAUGCUUCGGGGAGCUGUAAGUGAGCUUUGAUCCGGAGAUUUCCGAAUGGGGAAACCCACUGUUCGUAAUGGAGCAGUACAUUUGCGUGAAUACAUAGCGCAUCUGAGACACACCCAGGGAACUGAAACAUCUAAGUACCUGGAGGAAGAGAAAGAAAAAUCGAUUCCCUGAGUAGCGGCGAGCGAAACGGGAAUAGCCCAAACCAAGAGGCUUGCCUCUUGGGGUUGUAGGACACUCUACAUAGAGUUACAAAGGAAUGAGUUAGACGAAGCGAUCUGGAAAGGUCCGCAGGAUAGGGUAAAAGCCCCGUAGUCCAAAAUUCAUUCUCUCUUGAGUGUAUCCUGAGUACGGCGGAACACGUGAAAUUCCGUCGGAAUCCGGGAGGACCAUCUCCCAAGGCUAAAUACUACCUAGUGACCGAUAGUGAACCAGUACCGUGAGGGAAAGGUGAAAAGCACCCCGGAAGGGGAGUGAAAUAGAUCCUGAAACCGUGUGCCUACAAGUAGUUAGAGCCCGUUAAUGGGUGAUAGCGUGCCUUUUGUAGAAUGAACCGGCGAGUUACGAUUACAUGCAAGGUUAAGUUGAGAAGACGGAGCCGCAGCGAAAGCGAGUCUGAAUAGGGCGAAUGAGUAUGUGGUCGUAGACCCGAAACCAGGUGAUCUACCCAUGUCCAGGAUGAAGGUAAGGUAACACUUACUGGAGGUCCGAACCCACGCACGUUGAAAAGUGCGGGGAUGAGGUGUGGGUAGCGGAGAAAUUCCAAUCGAACCUGGAGAUAGCUGGUUCUCUCCGAAAUAGCUUUAGGGCUAGCCUCAAACGUUAGAAUCUUGGAGGUAGAGCACUGUUUGGACUAGGGGCCCAUCCCGGGUUACCGAAUUCAGACAAACUCCGAAUGCCAAUGAUUUAUGUUUGGGAGUCAGACUGCGAGUGAUAAGAUCCGUAGUCAAGAGGGAAACAGCCCAGACCACCAGCUAAGGUCCCAAAGUAUUUGUUAAGUGGAAAAGGAUGUGGCGUUGCUUAGACAACCAGGAUGUUGGCUUAGAAGCAGCCAUCAUUUAAAGAGUGCGUAAUAGCUCACUGGUCGAGUGACGCUGCGCCGAAAAUGUAUCGGGGCUAAACAAAUCACCGAAGCUGUGGAUUGAUACC